Molecule: ribosomal RNA, 320 nt
Filed under: uncultured eukaryote
Lineage: Eukaryota
Description: partial 18S ribosomal RNA
Rfam family: Eukaryotic small subunit ribosomal RNA
Source: RNAcentral
CCCCUAGAUGUUCUGGGCCGCACGCGCGCUACACUGAACAGUUCAACAAGUCUUAACCUUGGCCGAUAGGUCUGGGUAAUCUUUGAACGCUGUUCGUGAUUGGGAUAGACCUUUGCAAUUAUGGGUCUUCAACGAGGAAUUCCUAUUAAACGCAAGUCAUCAGCUUGCAUUGAUUACGUCCCUGCCCUUUGUACACACCGCCCGUCGCACCUACCGAUUGAAUGGUCCGGUGAAAUCUCGGGACGGCGGCUUGGUCGCUUGCGUCCGACUGCUGAAACUUGAUUAAACCAUAUCAUUUAGAGGAAGGUGAAGUCGUAACA